This 549-nucleotide ribosomal RNA is filed under the name Penicillium citrinum. RNAcentral describes it as "eukaryotic LSU rRNA". The stretch from base 174 to 327 matches the Rfam family "5.8S ribosomal RNA". Lineage: Eukaryota; Fungi; Ascomycota; Eurotiomycetes; Eurotiales; Aspergillaceae. The record is from RNAcentral.
CUUCCGUAGGUGAACCUGCGGAAGGAUCAUUACCGAGUGCGGGCCCCUCGGGGCCCAACCUCCCACCCCGUGUUGCCCGAACCUAUGUUGCCUCGGCGGGCCCCGCGCCCGCCGACGGCCCCCCUGAACGCUGUCUGAAGUUGCAGUCUGAGACCUAUAACGAAAUUAGUUAAAACUUUCAACAACGGAUCUCUUGGUUCCGGCAUCGAUGAAGAACGCAGCGAAAUGCGAUAACUAAUGUGAAUUGCAGAAUUCAGUGAAUCAUCGAGUCUUUGAACGCACAUUGCGCCCUCUGGUAUUCCGGAGGGCAUGCCUGUCCGAGCGUCAUUGCUGCCCUCAAGCCCGGCUUGUGUGUUGGGCCCCGUCCCCCCCGCCGGGGGGACGGGCCCGAAAGGCAGCGGCGGCACCGCGUCCGGUCCUCGAGCGUAUGGGGCUUCGUCACCCGCUCUAGUAGGCCCGGCCGGCGCCAGCCGACCCCCAACCUUUAAUUAUCUCAGGUUGACCUCGGAUCAGGUAGGGAUACCCGCUGAACUUAAGCAUAUCAAUAAG